GUGGGAGCCCCAACCUGCGGGCAGUGCCUGGGUCUAGAAGCAGGGUGUCGCCAGCCCCCAGAGCCUGGUGACUCUUGAGUUUUCAGCCCGUCCUCCUGCAUCAGGAGGACAAGCUGCCUCAUUUCAGAGGCCUCCCAACUUUUUCCUUGUUGAAUCCCGUCCUCCUUGUUCAAUCCCUUCAAUGGUGGGCCUUCCCCAAAGUGAGGAUAGCUAGAUGUUAGUUGCAUCUCCCAAAGCUGAGUCUCCCGUGCAGUCCUCCCCUGGCUCAUCCUCUGUCCUCGAAGCGCCUCUUUUUGCCCCCUUUGCCAUCAUUUAGCGGGGAUUGGGGACCCAGUGUUCACUCCACUGUGUGGAUCAACUGCAAGGGCAUUAUUGAUUCAUUUUUGUAAAGUCCCAAAACCCAGCACAACACUGGUACGUGGCAGGUGCCGCCUGGAUAAACGAAUGAGUGAAAGGCAAAAGGACAGGGUCCUCUGCCCUCAAAAACCUCACAGCACAGCUGGGCGGAGGAUGCAGGUUGGAGGGAGGAGGAAGUCGAUAGAUCCGUGCCUUAGCGCUCAGAGUGGGGCUGAUUGUGCAAGCGGCCGUGCAGCCCACAGGCCAUGGAAAUUCGGGGCGGCCGCCGCGAGUACGUCACCCGCCCCAGGGGGGAGGACAGAGGCGCCGUGACAAGAGGCUGGAGGGAGUGGCCACCCAAGGCCAUCCGGGCAGCCAAGCUCCAGGCACAGGCAAGGCAGCCAGGAGGUCCAACUCAAGGCUGACGAUCCGGCCCUGCCCCACGCGGGGCCCCACCGCAGCCUGGGUGCACGGAGAAGAUGGGGUGCCCCCCACAUGAGAGAUGCAAAAACUGAGGCUUGGUGAGGUUGAGAUGCUCGUCCCAGGUCACAUCACCAGGAAAUGGCAGAGCUGAGACUGGAACCCAGGUGUGUGCACCUCACUAUCCACGCUCCUCACCAGCCCUCCAUCCCCUGCAGCACAGGCCGCAGGUUCAAGUCUGGCUAUUCCACUGACCGUUAUGUGACUCUGGGCAAGACCUUUCAUCUCUUUGCAGCCUUGCUUUGUCUCUCCUCCGCUGUAAAAUGAAAAGAUGAUAGCUGGUGGCCUCUGAGGGCCCCUCCAGCUCGGAUGUUCUGAGAUUUCACUUCUGUCCGGAAAGCGUUGCUCUGACCAGCAGAACCAACGAAGCUGUGAAAAUUAAAGGCACAAACGGUGGGGUCACCCUCUGGGGGGCUGCUCUGGGGCAGCCCCUCCCCGCGCCACUCCUCUCAUGCCCAGACAGCCGGCCGCAGCCUGUGCCCUCCAGGAGGGCCGCCCUCCACUCUAGGAACAGCGGCAGAAUCUCUGGGGCUCAGGGCACGGCAGGCGCCUUCCUCUGGUGGCCUUUGAUGUCGGCCUCCAGGGAGACCUCAUGCAAGUUAAGGCCAGAGGAGUCAGACCCCAGAGUCCUGACAUGUAACUGGAAUCUCGAUCCUCGUCACACACUGGCUCUUUCUUGGAUUAACAGCCCAUGAGCAUCCACCCUCCUGAGUGCUGUCUGGGGAAGCAGUCCUCGCUGAGCCCUCGCCAAACGCUAGCUGGGGACGUAACCAGCCCCGUGCCGCAUGCCCUGCCUGUGUCCCCGCAUAGGGACCCAGCCACACCUCCCUCCUGCCUCCUCCCCAGCCCAGACCCGGCCCCAGACUGGCCUGGGGGAGUGGGGGCUCACUCGGGCAUCUGGCCUCUCCUUGAUGUAGGGGUAUCCUUGCCUUAGUGGGUGUGACCGUGGGGCUGAUUGAUGAAUAAGCUAGUGGCUGAGAGCGGGCCCUGUGUGCAAACCCCAGCUGUACCACUCACGCGGCCUCUCUGGGCCGCUGUUUCUCAGCUGUGACCGAGGGUAUAAUGGCCCCAACCCCGCCCUGGAUGUGAGGGUGAGAUGAGGAAAUGUGUGCAUGUGAAGAGCAGGUGCCCCCGACAGCUUGCUGCUGGGGGGUGGCCACACUGGGGGCUCCCUAGCACUCCCCCACCCCUGACCCCAUGCUCUCGCCUCCCCUGACGUUCCUCCUGGGACUGCCGGGUGGCAUCCCUGGGUGACCUUGUCAGUGGAGCCCAGCCGACUGACAGAGGAUUUGGCGCCUGCCCUGCUGGGUGCAGUCUCCUCAAAGUUUCAAGUUCCCUGGGGGGUGGAGGCUGAGGAAGGUCAGUCGUGGCCCCUGCAGCCCCGGAGGUCAUAGCUCGUCAGCCGUUUGGGAUCCCAGCGAAGCCCAGGCCUCCCGUGAUGCUGAGUCUGGGAUGGGAUCCAGGAUACAAGUUCCCUCCCAGGUGGGGUCAGGGUGGGAGGCAAGGCAGUCAGGCCAGUACAGGCCCAAUUCGGGGGCAGUUGCCAGCCGCCCAGCUUCCCAAGACCGUGAGAAGCUGCCAGCGACCAGCACCGUCUUUGGGGGCAGCAGCUGAUGGACAAGGUGGCCAAAUACCAGAGGGCUUGGGCGGCUUGGGGAGAGUCUGGGAGACUUGGGGGGGCAGGCAAGCUAGAGCCACACGCCAGCCUCGAAGGAAGCCCAGGGCCGCUGUGCCCAGGACCUUCCUCUCUGGUUCCCUUUGGGGCUCCCGGGGCCUCUGUGGGGUCCCUCAGGGCCCAAGUCUCUGGGCAAAAUCCAUUCCCCUGCCCUCUGCAGAGAACCUGAUUAGGCCUGCUAAUCAGGACGUUCCUGUUGAGCCCAGAAU
Long non-coding RNA from Bos taurus (domestic cattle), 2700 nucleotides. The record is from Ensembl. NCBI's taxonomy places the organism in Eukaryota, Metazoa, Chordata, Mammalia, Artiodactyla, Bovidae.